RNAcentral lists this ribosomal RNA (549 nucleotides) under Hyalinobatrachium mondolfii group sp. ABGD cluster 13. RNAcentral describes it as "partial large subunit ribosomal RNA". It matches the Rfam family "Bacterial large subunit ribosomal RNA", at positions 1857 to 2606 of the family's 2925-position model. The record is from RNAcentral. Lineage: Eukaryota; Metazoa; Chordata; Amphibia; Anura; Centrolenidae.
GCCUGCCCAGUGACAAUGUUCAACGGCCGCGGUAUCCUAACCGUGCGAAGGUAGCGUAAUCACUUGUUCUUUAAAUAAGGACUAGUAUGAACGGCACCACGAAGGUUACACUGUCUCCUCUUUCUAAUCAGUGAAACUAAUCUCCCCGUGAAGAAGCGGGGAUAAAAAUAUAAGACGAGAAGACCCUAUGGAGCUUUAAACUACAAGGCACUUGCCCCCAUAUAAUCAAAUUCCAGAAAAUCAUUACCACCCAGGCAACAUGACCUUUAGUUUUAGGUUGGGGUGACCGCGGAGCAAAGAAAAACCUCCACAUUGAAAGGAGACCUCUCCUUAGCCAAGAGCCACACCUCUAAGCACCAACAAAAAGACAUUAAUUGACCCAAUAUUUUUGAUCAACGAACCAAGUUACCCUAGGGAUAACAGCGCAAUCCACUUCAAGAGCUCCUAUCGACAAGUGGGUUUACGACCUCGAUGUUGGAUCAGGGUAUCCCGGUGGUGCAGCCGCUACCAAAGGUUCGUUUGUUCAACGAUUAAAACCCUACGUGAUCU